GAUGAACGCUGGCGGCGUGCCUAAUACAUGCAAGUCGAGCGAACGGACGAGAAGCUUGCUUCUCUGAUGUUAGCGGCGGACGGGUGAGUAACACGUGGAUAACCUACCUAUAAGACUGGGAUAACUUCGGGAAACCGGAGCUAAUACCGGAUAAUAUUUUGAACCGCAUGGUUCAAUAGUGAAAGACGGUCUUGCUGUCACUUAUAGAUGGAUCCGCGCUGCAUUAGCUAGUUGGUAAGGUAACGGCUUACCAAGGCGACGAUGCAUAGCCGACCUGAGAGGGUGAUAGGCCACACUGGAACUGAGACACGGUCAAGACUCCUAAGGGAGGCAGCAGUAGGGAAUCUUCCGCAAUGGGCGAAAGCCUGACGGAGCAACGCCGCGUGAGUGAUGAAGGUCUUCGGAUCGUAAAACUCUGUUAUUAGGGAAGAACAUAUGUGUAAGUAAAUGUGCACAUCUUGACGGUACCUAAUCAGAAAGCCACGGCUAACUACGUG
RNAcentral lists this ribosomal RNA (497 nucleotides) under uncultured bacterium. RNAcentral describes it as "partial 16S ribosomal RNA". It matches the Rfam family "Bacterial small subunit ribosomal RNA", at positions 28 to 507 of the family's 1533-position model. The record is from RNAcentral.